RNAcentral lists this ribosomal RNA (467 nucleotides) under uncultured bacterium. RNAcentral describes it as "partial 16S ribosomal RNA". It matches the Rfam family "Bacterial small subunit ribosomal RNA", at positions 29 to 507 of the family's 1533-position model. The record is from RNAcentral.
ACGAACGCUGGCGGCGUGCUUCACACAUGCAAGUCGAACGGAAAGGCCCUGCUUUUGUGGGGUGCUCGAGUGGCGAACGGGUGAGUAACACGUGAGUAACCUGCCCUUGACUUUGGGAUAACUUCAGGAAACUGGGGCUAAUACCGGAUAGGAGCUCCUGCUGCAUGGUGGGGGUUGGAAAGUUUCGGCGGUUGGGGAUGGACUCGCGGCUUAUCAGCUUGUUGGUGGGGUAGUGGCUUACCAAGGCUUUGACGGGUAGCCGGCCUGAGAGGGUGACCGGCCACAUUGGGACUGAGAUACGGCCCAGACUCCUACGGGAGGCAGCAGUGGGGAAUAUUGCACAAUGGGCGGAAGCCUGAUGCAGCAACGCCGCGUGCGGGAUGACGGCCUUCGGGUUGUAAACCGCUUUCGCCUGUGACGAAGCGUGAGUGACGGUAAUGGGUAAAGAAUCACCGGCUAACUACGUG